This 257-nucleotide ribosomal RNA is filed under the name uncultured bacterium. RNAcentral's name for it is "partial 16S ribosomal RNA". It matches the Rfam family "Bacterial small subunit ribosomal RNA", at positions 524 to 777 of the family's 1533-position model. The record is from RNAcentral.
UACGGAGGGUGCGAGCGUUGUCCGGAAUCAUUGGGCGUAAAGGGCGCGUAGGUGGCCACUUCAAGCGUGCGGUGAAAGUCGGGGGCUCAACCCCUGAUCGGCCGUGCGAACUGGGAGGCUUGAGCACUGUAGAGGCAGGCGGAAUUCCGGGUGUAGCGGUGGAAUGCGUAGAGAUCCGGAAGAACACCGGUGGCGAAGGCGGUUAGCUGGGCAGUUGCUGGACACUGAGGCGCGGACAGCGUGGGGAGCAAACAGGG